CGUUAUGGCGGGCUGUGCGUGGGACACUUUGUGUGUGCCGGGUCCUAAUCCCCCGGUUUGUCCACCCGCGUACAGUUCGCCACCUUU
Pseudomonas batumici is the source of this 87-nucleotide non-coding RNA. Lineage: Bacteria; Pseudomonadati; Pseudomonadota; Gammaproteobacteria; Pseudomonadales; Pseudomonadaceae. The record is from Rfam.